CAAAAUUAGCCUAAAAAUACCUAGACUCUAAGACCCUAGAAAUAUAAUCAGCCAUUUCUAAAGAGGGACAAAAGCUGCAGCGCCAUUUUCCAUCACACAAACGACCCCCCCCCCCCCCCUUUUGAAGUUCAUCUUCCUCGACAGACCCCACCCCAAAAAUGACCCCUAAUCUUCAGCAACAUGGACGGAACAACAUACAGACCUAGACGCUUAAGAAGCUGAGCGCCGUUUCUUUUUUAUUGUAAAAAGACCAACAAAAAACAUUGAGCUCCUUCUUCUUCCAAAGAACUUGGAGCUGCUGCUUCUUCUUCAUUAAGUAAACCGAAUACACCAAAACAGACCCCAUCCUUUUCCAUAUCCUAACAGCAACAAACUCACCUAAAUUCAAAUUAAAAAACGGAAAAACAGAGAGAGGGUGAACGGGCAGAAACAAAGUGAGAAAUUUUGAUGACAAUAGUCAUCCACUUCAAUUAUCGCUGAAGAAUCGAGAUCUGUCGAAUUCUAGAUGCAUCUCCGUUUUUCUUGAAAAAGCGUCAUUUUUUGAUGAGUCGAGGUUUUUGGUCUGCGAUUCGAGUAUAGGCUUGAGGUGUUGCCGCUUGAUUCAAUUAAUAAAGGGAGAUUUCAUGUGAUUGAAAAUGGUUCUGGUACAGACUUGAGGUCCAUUUUUCUCUUCAAUAUUUUACCUAUUGAUUUUGUCACAUAUUUGUUUGAAUGGUAGAUUCAUUUGAUUUCCAUGAUUAUUUGCGAUAUAUUUUGAUCUUUGGGUGAAAUUUGCUCGAGUUUUGUGGCCGGAUUCGUUAAUUACGUGAAAGUGGCAAUACAAAUGUUUUAUUUUGCUGUGCGUGUGAUUUAAAGUAGGACAACUAGCAUUAUUCUUGUGUUACUGAUUCAACCAAAACGUGAUUUAGCUUGUAAUUAAAUAAGAGAUUCCAUCAUGAAAACUUGUUUUUGGAUUGAUUAUUCAGUUGUUUUUAAAGUGUAAGGCAAUGGGUUUGGAGUGAAAUUUUAAAGUGAUUCAUUUUUGAGUUUGGACUUAAUAUUAAGAGGAAAAAACUUAAUUGUCCAAUAUUUUAAAAGAUUUUACAAUGUCAUAGCAGUAGCACUUGAUUAACAUUUCUAGCAUUUACAUGUUUACAUUCAUAAUAAAACUUGUAAGAGUUAUCCCACCUGUGUUCCUAAAAUUUAGAAAAUUUCUCUGUAUUUAAAAUGCUUAACUGAUUUCACGCUCCACUCAUAAAUGACUUUUCCUUAUCUUUUAUCUCUAUUUUAAAAAAUGAUUUUGUCAUAGAUGAUAAUUUAAUGAUGAUUUUGUCAUAGACGACCAUUUUAUCUUGUUAUAUUACACGUAGAAAAGCCUUUAGGCACGUGUUAAAAAAUACAAUUGUGAUUGUGUAUACGUUCGCGUGACAUAAUCGCGAUUCUAAAACCAAUUCAGAGUAUGCGUUCGCGCAACUUCGGUCAAACUUUCUUAAUAAUAAAAUUAUUUUAAUAGGCCACCAAUUUAAAUUUAUUUUAUAUAGUCUGAGGUGUGCCAUCCAUAAUUUAAUCAUUCAUGGCCCUCAUAUUAAUUUCAUAACCCAUUUAUAAAAAUGACAAAUGCUCGUAGUUGCUUUAUGUCCGUCUAAUAUACCAUCAUGAUUGCGUACACAUUCGCGUAACAUAAUUACGAUUCUAAAAACAAUACCAGAGUAUGCAUUCGUGCAACUUUGGCCAAACUUUUCUUAAUAAUAAUAAAGCGUUGUUAAUUGUGGACACGUACACGUGACAUAAUUUUUUGAUGCGCCAAACAAAUGGGUACACGUAUGCGUGACUUGUUUUUAAGAUAAUUUCUCAAUUAAAAAAGGCAAAUGCACAUAGGUUCUAAAAGUAAGUAAUUAGACAAUUGGAUUCAACCAAGUAUAAUCAAAGCGACCGUGCUAAAAUCACGGAACCCGGGAAUAUCUAACACCUUCUCCCGGGUUAAUAGAAUUCCUUACCCGGAUUUCUAUGUUCGCAGACCGUAAAUUGAGUCAACUUCCUCGAUUCGGGAUUUUAACCGGUGACUUGGGACACCAUAAAUUAUCCCAAAUGGCGACUCUGAUUUUAAUUUAAAUAAUUUCGUUUCGACUAUCACUUAAAUUGAAAAAAACUCCCUUAUAUCCCUUCCGGGGUAGGAAAAAGGAGGUGUGACAAUUGAGAUGGCCCUGCUGGAACGGUCUGGGCCGGAACCUCAUCAUUGAACUCCACCUGAGGUUUCGACGUUGGUGCUACUGCUCGAGCUCUGGGAUGAGCUCUGCCCCUACCUCGGCCUCUAGGGGGCUCGGGCUGCUGAUUAGCUGAUGAAGCGGUAUGUGUUCUAGCCAUCUGCGAAAGAACAGAGUAGAGAGUUCAAUUAGCGUUGAGAGAUCAAACUGCACGACAGUGAUGAAUAGAAGUGAAAUUAUUCCUAACUCUAUAGCCUCUAGGGGAUAAGCACAGAUAUCUCUGUACCUAUCCCUAAAACUCUACCAAGGUUAUCCAUGAAUUGUGAGACCUGAGCAACCUAGAGCUCUGAUACCAACUUGUCACGACCCGAAUUUCCCACCAUCGGGACCGUGAUGGCGCCUAACAUUGUACUCUCUAGGCAAGCCAAUAUUUCAGAAUGUCCUACCUUUUUUCUUUAUUUCUCAAAUAUUUAGGACUUAAGAAAAUAAACCAACGGAAUAAAUGCGAAAGAAAACAGUUUAAAAGCUUGACUUUAUGCAAUAACGAAAACCGAAGUAAAAUCCACCCAGGACUGGUAUCACAACUCACGAACUGUCUACGAAUACUACAAAUAAUGGUCUGAAUGAAAUGUUUACAUCUGUCUCGAAAGUAGAUAAAACAGAAAAUAAAAUAGGAUAGAAGGGGACGCCAGGGCCUGGAACGCCUGUAGAACUACCUUGGGUCUCCCGUACGCAGUGAUAGCAACCAACCUCACGAUCAGUCACUAGCUCCAAAAUCUACAUAGAAAGUGCAGAGUGUAGUAUUAGUACAACCGACCCCAUGUACUGGUAAGUGCCGAGCUUAACCUCGACGAAGUAGUGACGAGGCUACGGCGGGGCAUACAACAUAUAUAACCUGCAACAGUUUAUGCUAAACAGAAAAGGAAAUACAACAUGUAAUAAAGCAAUAAUUGGCAUUAAGUAAAUCCGGAACCCAACUGCUCUACUAGUAUUCAGCUAUAACCAAUCCUUAAGGGUGUUUUAAUAUCACAAUAAUAAACCUCAACGGAUAUGGACACAUAACAACAACUGAUGUUGCACGCAUCCCAAUCCCAUCAUAUAAUCAACAACAGUAUCAAUAUUCACCCUUAUUCCUCCUUGUUGCGGCGUGCAACCUGAUCCUACAUAUCCACCCUUAUUACUCCUCAACACAUAUCACCCUUAUUCCUCCUGUUGUAGCAUGCAAUCCGAUCCUACCUAUCCACCCUUAUUACUCCUUGUUGCAUUAUGCAACCCGAUCCCACCAGAGAAUCACAUUCUCUCUUAUUCCUCCCAUUGCAGCAUGCAACCCGAUCCCAAUAUAUAAAUCAACACCAAUCACAAAAAUAAAGACAAGUGUUUCACAGAUUAAUUAAAAUCAUCCAUUGUACUUAUACCUCAAUUCACACAACGGAAUAUCACUACAAUUAUGAAAAUUCACCAGUGUAAACUACUCAGCGAGACCAACCAAGGUGUACCAUAAGGAACCAACAAACCAAUAUAAGCCAACAAUGUAAUAAAGCGAAACCAUGAAACAAUUAGAUACUUCCAUAAAGAGAGCAAUAGUUAAUAUGAAGCAAUUAGACAUGGAAACAUUUAUGAGCAAGUAACAAUUAAGGCAUGGAAACAGUUAUAAACAGGUAACAAUUAAGACAAGAAAUAGUAUACUAGGAAACGAGGAAGGGAACAAACUAAAAAUGGAAAUUUUGGUGGCACAUAGAUACUCGUCACCACACCUAUAAUCCACACACAUGAAUUUUCACAUAGCAUAUAAGUCGGGGAUUCCUAUUCCCUCAAGUCAAGGUUAAACCAAACACUUACCUCAAGCCAAUGGGUAAUUCAACACUCAAUCACUUCUUUACCUCUCGAUUCCACUACUAAUUCACGCGUAUCUAGUCAUAAUUAACUCGAUAACAUCAAUAAGUGCUAAAUAAUUCAACUCAAAUGCAUAAUUAAAGGUUCUCUACCAUUUUCCCUAAAAAGUCAAAAAUCGAACCCGGGCCAACUUGGUCAAAACUCGAAGUUCGGACCAAAACUCGAUUACUCAUUCACCUCCGAUCCCGGAUAUGCAAUUGGUUUUGGAAUCCGACCUCAAUUUGAGGUCCAAAUCUCCAAAAUUUGAAAAUCCUAAUUUCUACCCAAGAACACCCAAUGUUUCAUGAAAACCCUUAGAUUUUGAGAUGAAAUCAUGUAAAAAGAUGAAUUAGAUUGAAGAAGAGGAAUUAGAAAUCACUUACCUAUGAUUUGGAGAGGUUUGGGUCUUUGAAAAACCACCUAGGGAUGUUUAGGGUUCGAAAUUUUUAAAAAUGAAGUGAAAAUCCCGUCUAAAAGAUGUUUUGAUCAGGUGUAGAUGUCGCAAUUAUGACAGGAGCUUCGCAAUUGAGAAGCUCGCAAAUGCGAGACAGGCUUCGUAAUUGCGAACCUGUUGCAUGUCUGGUCCUCUCGCAAUUGCGAGCAUUUUAUCGCAAUUACGAUGACUGGCCCUUCCCUGUUGACUUCGCAAUUGCGAAGGGAGGUUCACAAAUGCAAACAAGGAAGGCCUGGGCUUCUUCGCAAUUGCGAUAAAGCCCUCACAAUUGUCAAGCCUGUUAGGCUCGCAAUUGUGAAGCCUGACCUCACAAUUGCGAGAUCAGAGCCUGCAACAAUAUCAGAUGCAACAACUAAUUUUCUCUAAGUCCCAAAACACUUUGUGGCCUAUCGAAAACUCACCCGAGCCCUUGGGCUCCAAACCAAACAUGCACGCAAGUCUAAAAAUAUCAUACAAACUUUCUCGUAUGAACAAAUCAUCAAAAUAACAUCAACAACUACGAAUUUAAUCUCAAAUUCAUGAAAUUCAUAAGAUAGUUCAAAAUUACUAUUUUCUCAACCAAGGGUCCGAUUUAUAUCAAAUAAACUCCGAUUCUCACCAAAUUUAACAGAUACGACUUAAAUAUUAUAUUAAACCUGUACAGGGCUCCAAAACCAAAAAACAGGCCAAAUACCAUCAAGAUCACACACCAUUUCAUUUCUAAAAGUCCUUAUAUUUUCCAGCAAAUAAUUUUCUUAAAAAUUCUUUUCUUAGGCUAGGGACCUCGGAAUUCGAUUCCGAGCAUACUCUUAAGUCCCAUAUUUUACUACUGACCCUCCGGAACCGUUGGAACACGGGUCCGGGUCCGUUUACCCAAAAUGUUUACCGAGAUCAACUAAAAUCAUCUUUUAAAGCCAUAAAUCAUUAUUUCUCAAAUUUUUCAUACAAAAGCUUUCCUGUAUCGCACCCGAACUACGCAUGCAAAUCAAGAAGAGAUAAAAGAAGGUUUUCAAGGCCUCAGAAUACGAAAAUGAGUUCUAAAACAAAAGAUGACUUUUUGGGUCAUCACAACAAUAGAGUGAGAGUCAGUCUUACCUACCUUGCCAACAACAAUGAUCUCACCUUUUUUUCCCAUUUCCGAAGGAGACAUUACCUCAUUUAAGAUCAACAAGUGAAAGGAACUGGUUCUUUCUUCCUGUCAUAUGCUUUGAACAGACGCUAUUCAUGUACUAUAUUUGGCUGCUCCCUUUCACUUGGACCUACAAAAGGAAAUUGGGGGUUAGUCUUAGGAACCCAAACUAGUUUGGGUCCCUUUAUAUAGGUAAAAGGGUAAAUCAAAUUCUUUUUAGCCUAACUUGGCAGCCUAUUUUUCCCUUGAACAAAUUCUUUGUUCUUCUGAAUAGCCUUUUCUUUUGCAGUAUAUUCACUUUUAUAGUGACCAGUUUUACCACAGUAUGUGCAAAUAUUAUUCUUAGGAAGUGUGAGGUACUUGCUUUUGGGAUCCCACUUAGGUGCAGGGUUCCCAAAGCCAAGUCCUCUUUUGUUGCUACUAUGGUAUUCAUGUAUCCAUGAAAGUGCAUUGGAGAACCUAUUCCAUUUACAGGUUCUGUCUAGAACAUGCUUGACCUUGCUUAGAUCCUCUUAUGUGCUCAUCUCUUUUGUACAACUUAUCUUUCAUCUUCUGUAAUGACCUGACCGGUCGUUUUGAGCUCUAGCACAUCGUUCAGUGGUUUGAGGCCAUAAGCAGCAUCACUUUAGGUAUUAUGACUUGUGUGUAUAGUCGGAAUUUCAUUUCGGGUAGUUCGGAGUUGAUUUGGAAAGAGAAUUCUCAUUUCGGAAGCCCUAAGUUGAAAGAAUUGACUAAGAUUGGAUUUCAGAGUCAACGACCUCGGAAUCGGGAUUUGAAGGUUCCAGUAGUUUCCUAAGAUUAUUUCGGACUUAGUCGUAUGUCCUGAUCGGGUUUUGGAAGACCCGGGAAUAUUUUGGCGCCUAUUGUGGAAGUUAGCAUUUUGGAAGAAAUUUCAUAAGUUUGGGUUGAAGUGCAUUUCAGUAUUAUCGAUGUCCGUUUGGAAUUCCGAGUCUAGGAGUAGCUCCGUAUGGUGAUUCUGGAGUUGGGAGCGUGAUCGAAAGUGAAUUCGGAGGUCUGUAGCUCAUUUGGAGUCAUUUGGCUAAAGAUAGAAAUUCUAAGGUUUUUGAGAAAUUUGACCAAGAGUUGACUUUUUGAUAUCGGGGUCGGAUUCCGAUUCCAGAAGUUGGAGUAGGUCUGUAAUAUCAAAUAUUACUUGUGUGCAAAAUUUGAGGUCAAUCGUAUAUGAUUUGAUAGGUUUCGGCAUCAAAUAUAUAAGUUUGAAAUUCUAAAGUUCAUAAAGCUUGGAUUGGAGGUUGAUGCAUGGUUUUAGCAUUAUUUGUUAUGAUUUGAGGCCUCGAACAAGUCCAUAAUGUGUUUUGGGACUGGUAGGUAUGAUUGGUUGGGAUCCCGGGGGCCUCGGGUGGAUUCCGGGUGGUUAACGGAUCGAGAAUGGAAUUUUUGAAAGGCUGAAGUUGCUGGUAUAACCGCACCUGCGAGAGUUGGGUCGCAAGUGCGGAGCCGCAGAAGCGGCCAAAGGAGCCGAAGAUGUGGUUUGGGCCAAAAGUAAAGGGGACCGCAGAUGUGGUCGAGCAGCCGCAGAAGCGGUAUCGCACCUGCGGCAGUUGAGUCGCACAAGCGGAAGGGAGUGCCUGGUGAGAUAUCCACAGAAGCGGUCCAGGGACCACAGGUGCGGAAGUGCUGGAGGCAGAAUGGUUCUUUUAAAAUCGGGAUUUGGCCAUUUUCUCUCAUAUUUUCUUGGCUUGGGUGAUUCUUGGAGAGUUUCAAGAAGGUAUUUUCAUCAUCAAUGAUAAGGUAAGCUAAUACCACAUAUCUUGAGUUAAAUAUAUAGAUUAUGUAUGGAUUUUAGCAUGUAAAUUUGUAGAACACUUGGGGUUUGAGGGAAAACCUAGAAAAUUGAUAUUCUUGGAAUUUGACCACGAUUUUGGGUAUGAAAUUGAGAGUAAAUUAUAUAUUUGAGAUCGUGAGGCUAUGUGUAAACUUUAUCUUCAAAAAAAUUCGAAAUCUGGGCAUGUGGGCCCGAGGCAAUUUUGUCAAAUUUUCGACCUUGGUUAGGGAUUGUUAUAAAUUGGAUUGUAAUGAGUGAUUUAACACAUAUUAAUGGAUUCGCAUAAUUAUUAGCUAGUUUUGGAGAAUUGUGCAUCGAUUCGAGUCUUCGAAAGAGCGUGAAAUGCCGGUUAUCAAUCUUCGGAGCGAGGUGAGUCUCCUUUCUGACCUUAUAAGAGGGAAUUGUCCCCAUAGGUGAGUUAAUUGGUUAUGUGCUCCUAUUUGUAGGGGAUACGUACGCAUGAGGGGUGACGAGAGUCCGUGCGUAGCUACUAUUAUGCUAUUGUCCGGGUAGUCUAGGACCCAAAAGCAUGCUGUACUUGGAAAUAUUUGUAACCCUAUCGACGGUUUGAAUUACUUAAAUCACAUCGUAUUAGUAAGUGAAUUUCUAAAAGAUUGAGCUUCAUUUUCUUAAAUUGUAAAAAGAGAAUUGGAUUUUCCUUAGAUAGUCAUUCCCUAAUGAAGUCUUGAUUAAUUGUUUGAAUAUAUGAUUCUAGGUGUACCUGCGUCGCAUGUAUGAUUCACAAGCAUGGUGUUUGUUUAUUUUAUGUUGGCCGCAUUGCAUGAAUGAUUCAUGAGUGGAGUAAUAGAUGUAUCUAUGGUCCGCGCCAUUCGACACUCGGCAGUGCACAUUUUACAUUUAUGUUGGAUCGGGCCGUACGACCUCGACAUGCUAUGUACAUGCUUGUAUUGUUACUUGGGAUUUACAAAUGUUCUCAUUUGCCUUUCCUAGCCGGAGAUAAAUUGAUAAAGAUAAUGAAAAGUAAAUUCUUUGGAAAUUCAUUAUUAUUUGGGAAGUUGUUUACCUGCUAUCUGGCUUUAUGAAUUAUAAUUUUUGUUUUAAUAAAAUUUCAUGAUCUCCUCACAUUUUUACUAGUAAGUGUCGAAGUCGACCUCUCGUCUCUACUUCUUCGAGAUUAGACGAGAUACUCAUUGUGUACACGAUGUUUUUGUACUCAUACUAUACUUGCCGUGCAUUUUUGUUGCACAAGUUCAUAUGUGGCUAGUGGCUUAGUGGCAUAGCAGCAUGGUUAAUAUGAAGACUUAGAUGAGUUGCAUUUAUCGAGACGUCCGUAGCCAGCAGAGUCUCCUUCAGAGUAUUGUACUGUAUUUUCAUUUCUGUCCACUUAUAUUCCGGACAGUUACUGUAUUUUAUUUCAUUCCCUAAAAAUUGCUCAUGUACUUGUGACACCGGGUUCUGGGAUGAUCACGAGAUUUUUCAGUAGUUAAAUUUUGUAAAGACACCCUCUUUUAUCCAGUGGAGUUUAUUAUUUAUUAUUUAUUUGUUUAAAGGAUAUGAUUUCAAAAUAAUUUAAAAUUAGAGAUUGCUAGUGAAUUGUAGUUGGCUUUCCUGACAGAGGUGUCCGGUGCCAUCACGACCCUCAGUGGAAUUUGGGUCGUGACAUUUUCCCUACAUUUUCUUAUAAAGUGAGUUAUGUGUGAUUAGAUGUCUUUUUACCUGUUCCUAAUUUAAAUUUCAGAUUUUCAAAUCUAAAUUCUAGGAUAGUUGUGUCAAGUUCAUGAACUUGGUUCUUCAACACAACAUUUUCACUUUCAGUUUCACUAGCCUUAUGUUCCUGGUUUUUGCACUUAGCUUUUAAAGCUACACACUCUUUUGACAGUUGUUCCUUUUCAAUGUUUACACCGUUAGAUUCAUCCAUUAGCUCGAUGAGCAACUUUGAUAACCUUUUCUUAUACAAAAAAUUAAUCUUGUCUUUGAGAUAAAUGAUAAGUGGGGAUUUUGACUACUUAUUAGCGCCUUUUAGCUUUCAUUUUAGUCCAAAAGAAUUUAAUUAUGUUCCCAAAAACUGAUGAAAUAUUCUUAAUGAAGGAAUAUUGGAAAAUGAUCCCCCAAGAUGAAAUCCAACUCAAAAAGGAGCGAUCUGAACUCGAAGAAAAAAACAGGCACAUAAGCUCAACGUGCAGACCGUAGAUUGUGAAGAAACUCAAAGCAGAGACAUGUGCAAAGUGCGGUCUGCACAGCCGCAGAAACUGGGCAAGAG
This 9624-nucleotide long non-coding RNA is filed under the name Nicotiana tabacum (common tobacco). Its description in RNAcentral is "long non-coding RNA (NTAB_LNC017944)". Lineage: Eukaryota; Viridiplantae; Streptophyta; Magnoliopsida; Solanales; Solanaceae. The record is from RNAcentral.